AUCAUCAUGAUAGUGGGAGCAUAAAUGUUAUGAUUGUAUGAUUAUUAAGGCAAGUAUUGCAAGUUGGCAAUAUUAAUUAUAGAAAACAAGAGUCAUUCUGUACAAAGUCGUAAGGAUGGAAUAGUUGUUUUGCUAUAAUUAAGGGAGAGAGAAUAUUAUGCUUCAUUUCAAAUCUAAAGGAUUAGGUUGAGAAAUGUUAAUAAACUUAGUCAAGGGUACAUAGUGUGUUCUUAAAAUUUCGAUUAUGAUUACGACAUUCCUCUUCACAAUUCGGAUUUUGAGAACAUAGCAAAUAAAACAUUAUGCGUCGUGUCCCAUACGCUUCGGGUAUAGGAUCGAUUGCAAAUGCUUUAAUGUUUGACCAUUCUAAAAUUUUCCAAAUUUCGAGCGCAUUUAGAGGGAAAAGGAACUAGAAUUGGUUUUGACUAAAAUAAUUAAACAACUAUCAAAGGACAAUCCAAAGUUCGACGAGGAUUGGUUGCUUGUGAGUAGUUGGAAGCAUGGUAUUGGAUGGACCAUAUCGACAUUAUUAUGAAUAGAAAAGAUUCUAUUAAGAAUGAGUUGUCAUAUGGAAAUUAUGGAAAUGUUUCCAUAUUGGAUGGACCAUAUCGACAUCAUUACGAAUAGAUAAGAUUCUAUUAAGAAUAAGUUGUCAUAUGGAAAAUAUGGAAGCGUGUCCAUAUUGGGAAUUGAAUAUUGAAAAAAAUCUAUGUCUAAGAUUAGGAACUUUUAUGCAAAAGGAUGUUCAAAGGAAUGUACUUUGAGUGAGAAACAUCAUACCUAAGGAAUUGUCUUAUAACAAUCUCCAAUAGAGGACCUUGUAAUAUCAUUUGGCAAUAUUCUUUGUGACUUUGGUACAGUGACAUUACGAAAGGAUUGUUGCAUAAAGUGUUCGAAUCUAGCAUAUUCUAUAAGUGGCAAGUAUUUGAUACUCUUACACUUAUGAAAAAGGAUUUGGAGUUGUGAAAUGAGAAUGGUUGGAAAUGUGUUCAAUUUGAUCUAUUUCACAAAAGUAAGAACCAUAGGUAAACAUUGUGUGCAUGCUAAGAGCAUGGGACAAGUGUAAUAAUUCAAGUAAGAAGUUGAUUACCCGAAACGACAAAUAAUGAGUAAUCAAUAUGGUGAUAAAUAAAAGGUGUUUUAUUUAUGAUCAAAGGGUUGAGGCCAUAUGGGAUUAGUAUUAUUCUUGUGUUUCACAUUGGCAUGUUUUGACUUCCAGAAUAAUUGAAUUUAUUAAGAAUAAUCGAAUUAUUCGAACGGGCCACAGUCGUUCAUAUGUUGGAAGUAGAUAUGAAUGAAGACUGUCAUGAAUUGGUGUGUGGAUUGUCUAUAAGGUAUUAGACAUAAGCAAAUGUUUGCUGCAACGUUCAUGAGUGCUUAUGAAUGAGAAUUUGAGCAUUGGAUUAAACCCACGCUCACUUGGAUCACUCUAUGAAUUGUAUCACGAGUGAUUGGUAAGACGAUAGCAUCUUAUAUUCUUGAAACCGAGAUGUGUGAGUUGUAUCUUGCGAAUCGGUUGCACAUUGAUAAUAUGUAAACGC
Molecule: long non-coding RNA, 1541 nt
Filed under: Lactuca sativa (garden lettuce)
Lineage: Eukaryota; Viridiplantae; Streptophyta; Magnoliopsida; Asterales; Asteraceae
Description: long non-coding RNA (LSAT_LNC002454)
Source: RNAcentral